AGAAUCAACGCUGGCGGCGUGCCUAACACAUGCAAGUCGCACGAGAAAGGGUAGCAAUACCUGAGUACAGUGGCGCACGGGUGAGUAACACGUGAAUAAUCUACCUCCGAGUGGGGAAUAACUGAGAGAAAUCUUAGCUAAUACCGCAUAAUACCCACGGGUCAAAGCAGCAAUGCGCUUGGAGAGGAGUUCGCGGCAGAUUAGUUAGUUGGCGGGGUAAUGGCCCACAAGACGAUGAUCUGUA
RNAcentral lists this ribosomal RNA (244 nucleotides) under uncultured bacterium. RNAcentral describes it as "partial small subunit ribosomal RNA". It matches the Rfam family "Bacterial small subunit ribosomal RNA", at positions 26 to 285 of the family's 1533-position model. The record is from RNAcentral.